This 122-nucleotide long non-coding RNA is filed under the name Chinchilla lanigera (long-tailed chinchilla). RNAcentral describes it as "lncRNA (ENSCLAG00000022811.1)". The record is from RNAcentral. Lineage: Eukaryota; Metazoa; Chordata; Mammalia; Rodentia; Chinchillidae.
CUGACUGUUCUCCACAGGUGCUGAGUACUGACACCUCCGUAGCCAGCAGGCUCCCUACGCACUUAAGACUUGGAAGACCUUGGACCACAGAGAAAACACAAAGGCUCCUGUGGCCGGCUGAG